Molecule: ribosomal RNA, 1486 nt
Filed under: Bacillus licheniformis
Lineage: Bacteria; Bacillati; Bacillota; Bacilli; Caryophanales; Bacillaceae
Description: 16S ribosomal RNA
Rfam family: Bacterial small subunit ribosomal RNA
Source: RNAcentral
UUUGAUCCUGCUCAGGACGAACGCUGGCGGCGUGCCUAAUACAUGCAAGUCGAGCGGACCGACGGGAGCUUGCUCCCUUAGGUCAGCGGCGGACGGGUGAGUAACACGUGGGUAACCUGCCUGUAAGACUGGGAUAACUCCGGGAAACCGGGGCUAAUACCGGAUGCUUGAUUGAACCGCAUGGUUCAAUCAUAAAAGGUGGCUUUUAGCUACCACUUACAGAUGGACCCGCGGCGCAUUAGCUAGUUGGUGAGGUAACGGCUCACCAAGGCGACGAUGCGUAGCCGACCUGAGAGGGUGAUCGGCCACACUGGGACUGAGACACGGCCCAGACUCCUACGGGAGGCAGCAGUAGGGAAUCUUCCGCAAUGGACGAAAGUCUGACGGAGCAACGCCGCGUGAGUGAUGAAGGUUUUCGGAUCGUAAAACUCUGUUGUUAGGGAAGAACAAGUACCGUUCGAAUAGGGCGGCACCUUGACGGUACCUAACCAGAAAGCCACGGCUAACUACGUGCCAGCAGCCGCGGUAAUACGUAGGUGGCAAGCGUUGUCCGGAAUUAUUGGGCGUAAAGCGCGCGCAGGCGGUUUCUUAAGUCUGAUGUGAAAGCCCCCGGCUCAACCGGGGAGGGUCAUUGGAAACUGGGGAACUUGAGUGCAGAAGAGGAGAGUGGAAUUCCACGUGUAGCGGUGAAAUGCGUAGAGAUGUGGAGGAACACCAGUGGCGAAGGCGACUCUCUGGUCUGUAAACUGACGCUGAGGCGCGAAAGCGUGGGGAGCGAACAGGAUUAGAUACCCUGGUAGUCCACGCCGUAAACGAUGAGUGCUAAGUGUUAGAGGGUUUCCGCCCUUUAGUGCUGCAGCAAACGCAUUAAGCACUCCGCCUGGGGAGUACGGUCGCAAGACUGAAACUCAAAGGAAUUGACGGGGGCCCGCACAAGCGGUGGAGCAUGUGGUUUAAUUCGAAGCAACGCGAAGAACCUUACCAGGUCUUGACAUCCUCUGACAACCCUAGAGAUAGGGCUUCCCCUUCGGGGGCAGAGUGACAGGUGGUGCAUGGUUGUCGUCAGCUCGUGUCGUGAGAUGUUGGGUUAAGUCCCGCAACGAGCGCAACCCUUGAUCUUAGUUGCCAGCAUUCAGUUGGGCACUCUAAGGUGACUGCCGGUGACAAACCGGAGGAAGGUGGGGAUGACGUCAAAUCAUCAUGCCCCUUAUGACCUGGGCUACACACGUGCUACAAUGGGCAGAACAAAGGGCAGCGAAGCCGCGAGGCUAAGCCAAUCCCACAAAUCUGUUCUCAGUUCGGAUCGCAGUCUGCAACUCGACUGCGUGAAGCUGGAAUCGCUAGUAAUCGCGGAUCAGCAUGCCGCGGUGGAAUACGUUCCCGGGCCUUGUACACACCGCCCGUCACACCACGAGAGUUUGUAACACCCGAAGUCGGUGAGGUAACCUUUUGGAGCCAGCCGCCGAAGGUGGGACAGAUGAUUGGG